Molecule: non-coding RNA, 24 nt
Filed under: Mus musculus (house mouse)
Lineage: Eukaryota; Metazoa; Chordata; Mammalia; Rodentia; Muridae
Source: RNAcentral
UGAUGAAUAAAGGUUGCUAGGAAA